This 305-nucleotide ribosomal RNA is filed under the name uncultured bacterium. RNAcentral describes it as "bacterial SSU rRNA". It matches the Rfam family "Bacterial small subunit ribosomal RNA", at positions 333 to 655 of the family's 1533-position model. The record is from RNAcentral.
UUGGGCCUACGGGGGGCAGCAGUGGGGAAUAUUGCACAAUGGGGGGAACCCUGAUGCAGCGACGCCGCGUGAGUGAAGAAGUAUUUCGGUAUGUAAAGCUCUAUCAGCAGGGAAGAAAAUGACGGUACCUGACUAAGAAGCCCCGGCUAACUACGUGCCAGCAGCCGCGGUAAUACGUAGGGGGCAAGCGUUAUCCGGAUUUACUGGGUGUAAAGGGAGCGUAGACGGCAGAGCAAGUCUGAAGUGAAAGCCCGGGGCUCAACCGCGUGACUGCUUUUGAAACUGUAUAGCUAGAGUGCAGGAGA